GGGGACGGAGAAGGCUAUGUUGGCCGGGCGACGGUUGUCCCGGUUUAAGCGUGUAGGCUGGUUUUCCAGGCAAAUCCGGAAAACCAAGGCUGAGGCGUGAUGACGAGGCACUACGGUGCUGAAGCGACAAAUGCCCUGCUUCCAGGAAAAGCCUCUAAGCAUCAGGUAACAUCAAAUCGUACCCCAAACCGACACAGGUGGUCAGGUAGAGAAUACCAAGGCGCUUGAGAGAACUCGGGUGAAGGAACUAGGCAAAAUGGUGCCGUAACUUCGGGAGAAGGCACGCUGAUAUGUAGGUGAAGCGACUUGCUCGUGGAGCUGAAAUCAGUCGAAGAUACCAGCUGGCUGCAACUGUUUAUUAAAAACACAGCACUGUGCAAACACGAAAGUGGACGUAUACGGUGUGACGCCUGCCCGGUGCCGGAAGGUUAAUUGAUGGGGUUAGCGGCAACGCGAAGCUCUUGAUCGAAGCCCCGGUAAACGGCGGCCGUAACUAUAACGGUCCUAAGGUAGCGAAAUUCCUUGUCGGGUAAGUUCCGACCUGCACGAAUGGCGUAAUGAUGGCCAGGCUGUCUCCACCCGAGACUCAGUGAAAUUGAACUCGCUGUGAAGAUGCAGUGUACCCGCGGCAAGACGGAAAGACCCCGUGAACCUUUACUAUAGCUUGACACUGAACAUUGAGCCUUGAUGUGUAGGAUAGGUGGGAGGCUUUGAAGUGUGGACGCCAGUCUGCAUGGAGCCGACCUUGAAAUACCACCCUUUAAUGUUUGAUGUUCUAACGUUGGCCCGUAAUCCGGGUUGCGGACAGUGUCUGGUGGGUAGUUUGACUGGGGCGGUCUCCUCCUAAAGAGUAACGGAGGAGCACGAAGGUUGGCUAAUCCUGGUCGGACAUCAGGAGGUUAGUGCAAUGGCAUAAGCCAGCUUGACUGCGAGCGUGACGGCGCGAGCAGGUGCGAAAGCAGGUCAUAGUGAUCCGGUGGUUCUGAAUGGAAGGGCCAUCGCUCAACGGAUAAAAGGUACUCCGGGGAUAACAGGCUGAUACCGCCCAAGAGUUCAUAUCGACGGCGGUGUUUGGCACCUCGAUGUCGGCUCAUCACAUCCUGGGGCUGAAGUAGGUCCCAAGGGUAUGGCUGUUCGCCAUUUAAAGUGGUACGCGAGCUGGGUUUAGAACGUCGUGAGACAGUUCGGUCCCUAUCUGCCGUGGGCGCUGGAGAACUGAGGGGGGCUGCUCCUAGUACGAGAGGACCGGAGUGGACGCAUCACUGGUGUUCGGGUUGUCAUGCCAAUGGCACUGCCCGGUAGCUAAAUGCGGAAGAGAUAAGUGCUGAAAGCAUCUAAGCACGAAACUUGCCCCGAGAUGAGUUCUCCCUGACUCCUUGAGAGUCCUGAAGGAACGUUGAAGACGACGACGUUGAUAGGCCGGGUGUGUAAGCGCAGCGAUGCGUUGAGCUAACCGGUACUAAUGAACCGUGAGGCUUAACCUU
This 1484-nucleotide ribosomal RNA is filed under the name Escherichia coli. RNAcentral's name for it is "partial 23S ribosomal RNA". It matches the Rfam family "Bacterial large subunit ribosomal RNA", at positions 1468 to 2925 of the family's 2925-position model. Lineage: Bacteria; Pseudomonadati; Pseudomonadota; Gammaproteobacteria; Enterobacterales; Enterobacteriaceae. The record is from RNAcentral.